Molecule: long non-coding RNA, 1844 nt
Organism: Nematostella vectensis (starlet sea anemone)
Lineage: Eukaryota; Metazoa; Cnidaria; Anthozoa; Actiniaria; Edwardsiidae
Exons: 2
Source: RefSeq, a predicted model, not a curated record
UAGAUAAGGCUUCAGCCAAUGGAAGUACCUACCCCCCAGAAGCAGCCUUUCAGUGUUCGACCCGCUGGGACUAGGGUCUCCAUUCGUGCUGAGAGCUAAGUUAAUCCUGCAAGAGCUCUGGAGACAGCAGUACGAUUGGGAUGAUGACAUAACCAGACCACUUCUCGAUGCUUGGGAAAAUUGGAAGCAUGAGAUGACCGAUCUACGAAACUUCUCUGUUCCCCGGUGUUAUCUCAAGUCAACUGAAGAAAUCACUAGCACUCAGAUCCACAUUUUUGCAGAUGCGUCAGAAGAAGCCUUUGGAGCAGUGGCAUACCUUCGACACAGGCUCUAAGUGGUAACAUUGAAUGUUCAUUUGUUCUUGGAAAUGCCAGACUAGCACCCCUCAAGUCACUAAGUAUCCCUUGACUUGAGCUCCAAGCAGCAGUUAUGGCGGUCAGAAUGUCGCAAGCGAUAACCAAGGAAUUGGACAUCCCGCAGUCUCACGUUUUUACUGACUCGCAAAAUCAUAACAUUCAUCUCGCGAAAUCAUAACAUGCGAAAUCAUAACAUUCGAAAAAUUAUAUAUGCAGGGUACAUGGAGCUUUUUACCAAUCCCGUGGCUCGUUACAUUUGAACCAAACGACAACCAGCAAUAAGAAAUCGCUUCACUCCGGCGGCUGGUGCGCGGGGGGUCUAAACAAGCUUUCUGUCGGUAAUUUGCAGACGGUUAUAAUGGAACUAUGUCCGGCUGCACGCAGGCUAUCACGAUGGCAGUCCAUCUCGAGAUUGCUCACUUGAUGAUGACAGACAGCUUCAUUAUGGCAUUGAGAAGGUUUACGGGAUGUAGGGGAAACCCUAAACAUACCUACAGCGGCGGGGGAGAGGGAAAACAUGUGUGGCUGACUGGGAUUACGUUGGUAAUAAUCACGGACGGGAAAGGCUGGUACGAUGACUCAGUGCUGGACGCGGCUCUCGCAGGUCUCACCUCACCUCACCUUACAAAACCUCACCUCACCUUACAAAACCUCACCUCACCUCACCUCUCUAAAAUAGCUACUCUCAUAACUUGCUUUCAGACUUUGGGCAGGAAAAUUCGGGCACUCGCUGUUGAAAGUGAUUCGAUGCUUGGCUUGGAUAGACUCCAGUCGAUCUGCACUCGACAACGUCGUUAAAGUCGCGGAUUAAGAAAGUUGGUCCAGAUGGCCUCUGCUGUAAACCACGUUCAUGUUUCCAAGAGAGUCUAUCACAAGAAAAGAAAGAAAGAAAACAAAUUUCUCGCGGAUAUUAUAUCAUAGAUACUUAUCAGAUGUACACUCUGUUUGUAGUGAUUAUUUUAAUUAUCUCUUUAUUUGAAAUUCAAUCUAUCAAGUUCACAGCUGCAGAUUAAUUUUGGCCGCAAGGCCGCAAUAGACAUUGUGCAAGUGCAAGUUGCAGGUUGUAUUUUAAUUUGGUUUCUGUCUGAUCGCUAAAAUUACAUGAAUUAUUUGCCUAUAUAUCUAUCUAUCAAAAGACAUCAGCCUGUGUCUUAAGCGGGCUCUUUUUCUAAAAUCUUCUCUAGAAUUUAAACUAUGAUUUCUAGAAAUUUAAUAAAGGUUCUCAAGUAAAUACUAGCACCCUUCACCAAGAAUGGAAUUCUAAAAUGGAAUAGCCCAGUGCAAAGAUAUCUAAGUCAAGCUGCACAUCCAUAAAACUCCGCUCUCAUAGUGAUAUGAUCAUACCAAGCCUGAACUACAACCCUGACGAAACGCGCUUUGAUGAAAGGGGAGAACUCGUUCUUCACCACAGUGGUACGGUCUGAGUUACCAGGGAAAAUCUGUAAAAAAAAAAGCUCAAAAUAUAAUACCAACAACGACAACAUAAAA